RNAcentral lists this long non-coding RNA (702 nucleotides) under Nicotiana benthamiana. Its description in RNAcentral is "long non-coding RNA (NBEN_LNC037958)". Lineage: Eukaryota; Viridiplantae; Streptophyta; Magnoliopsida; Solanales; Solanaceae. The record is from RNAcentral.
AAAAACACAGGUCUGGGGAGGAAAUCCAGCAAGGUUCUUGAGGAAGCUCACAGAAGAAGAAAUAAUGUUUAUCUCCCAGUCAGCCAUGAACUAUUCCACUUUAGCGCAGGCACAUGCAGCUGAAAAUGCAAAGAAGUUGGAUGAGAUUGAAUUUGAGAAGGUGCUACGGAAGAAAUUUGCUCUUAAGGAAGAAGAGUAUGACUCUAUGUUGGGUGGUGCUCGUGAUAUACCUCCAGAGCUUGGCCUGCAUUUAGCACAGGCCCAUGCAGCUGAAAAUGCAAAUAAGUUGGAUGAGAUUGAAUUUGAGAAGGUGCUGCGGAAGAAAUUCACUCGUAAGGAAGAAGAGUAUGACUCUAUGUUGGGUGGUGUUCGUGAUACACCUCCAGAGCUUGUCCUGCCUGAUAAUGUCCUACCAGGCAAGGCACCAAAGGCCUCCUAAGUGUGGGUUCCGACUGGAUUUCCCCCUGGGUUUUCUGAUAUUACCGGGCAACUCCUUUUGUUUCGGGUGGAUUAAGGUGCAAAUGCCUGCGUUUAGUUUCCAAUAAUUGAGGCCAGGCUGAAAUAUCAAAGAUCAAUAUUAGUAUGCAGCUCUAGCAUUUGUUUACUUACCAUGUCUGGUUAACCAGAGCCUAUUGACUAUUCAUGAGAAACCAAAGCUGCAGUCGAGCUUAAAUUUUUGACUGUUUAAGCAAUAUGAGAAAC